RNAcentral lists this ribosomal RNA (253 nucleotides) under uncultured bacterium. Its description in RNAcentral is "partial 16S ribosomal RNA". It matches the Rfam family "Bacterial small subunit ribosomal RNA", at positions 524 to 776 of the family's 1533-position model. The record is from RNAcentral.
UACGAGGGGGGCAAGCGUUGUUCGGAAUUAUUGGGCGUAAAGGGUGCGUAGGCGGUGCGGUAAGUCUGUUGUGAAAUCUCCGGGCUCAACUCGGAGUCUGCAUCAGAAACUGCCGUGCUGGAGUGUGGGAGAGGUGAGUGGAAUUCCCGGUGUAGCGGUGAAAUGCGUAGAGAUCGGGAGGAACACCUGCGGCGAAAGCGGCUCACUGGACCAUAACUGACGCUGAGGCGCGAAAGCUAGGGGAGCAAACAGG